GACGAACGCUGGCGGCAUGCCUAAUACAUGCAAGUCGAACGAUGAUAUCACUGCUUGCAGUGAUUGAUUAGUGGCGAACGGGUGAGUAACACGUGAGGAACUUGCCCAUGAGCGGGGGACAACAUUCGGAAAUGGAUGCUAAUACCCCAUAGGUGGAUUGGUCGCAUGACGAAUUCAUUAAAGGUGGCUUUGCUACCACUCAUGGAUAGUCUCGCGGUGUAUUAGCUAGUUGGUAAGGUAAUGGCUUACCAAGGCAGUGAUACGUAGCCGACUUGAGAGGGUGAUCGGCCACACUGGGACUGAGACACGGCCCAGACUCCUACGGGAGGCAGCAGUGGGGAAUUUUGGACAAUGGGGGCAACCCUGAUCCAGCCAUGCCGCGUGUCUGAAGAAGGCCUUCGGGUUGUAAAGGACUUUUGUUAGGGAAGAAAAGGGAAGUGCUAAUACCACUUUUUGCUGACGGUACCUAAAGAAUAAGCACCGGCUAACUACGUGCCAGCAGCCGCGGUAAUACGUAGGGUGCGAGCGUUAAUCGGAAUUACUGGGCGUAAAGCGAGCGCAGACGGUUACUUAAGCAGGAUGUGAAAUCCCCGGGCUCAACCUGGGAACUGCGUUCUGAACUGGGUAGCUAGAGUAUGUCAGAGGGGGGUAGAAUUCCACGUGUAGCAGUGAAAUGCGUAGAGAUGUGGAGGAAUACCGAUGGCGAAGGCAGCCCCCUGGGAUAAUACUGACGUUCAUGCUCGAAAGCGUGAGUAGCAAACAGGAUUAGAUACCCUGGUAGUCCACGCCCUAAACGAUGUUGAUUAGCUGUUGGGCAACUUGAUUGCUUAGUAGCGUAGCUAACGCGUGAAAUCGACCGCCUGGGGAGUACGGUCGCAAGAUUAAAACUCAAAGGAAUUGACGGGGACCCGCACAAGCGGUGGAUGAUGUGGAUUAAUUCGAUGCAACGCGAAGAACCUUACCUGGUCUUGACAUGUACGGAAGAACUCAGAGACGAGUUUGUGCCUUCGGGAGCCGUAACACAGGUGCUGCAUGGCUGUCGUCAGCUCGUGUCGUGAGAUGUUGGGUUAAGUCCCGCAACGAGCGCAACCCUUGUCAUUAGUUGCCAUCAUUUAGUUGGGCACUCUAAUGAGACUGCCGGUGACAAACCGGAGGAAGGUGGGGAUGACGUCAAGUCCUCAUGGCCCUUAUGACCAGGGCUUCACACGUCAUACAAUGGUCGGUACAGAGGGUAGCCAAGCCGCGAGGUGGAGCCAAUCCCAGAAAACCGAUCGUAGUCCGGAUUGCACUCUGCAACUCGAGUGCAUGAAGUCGGAAUCGCUAGUAAUCGCAGGUCAGCAUACUGCGGUGAAUACGUUCCCGGGUCU
RNAcentral lists this ribosomal RNA (1367 nucleotides) under uncultured bacterium. RNAcentral's name for it is "bacterial SSU rRNA". It matches the Rfam family "Bacterial small subunit ribosomal RNA", at positions 28 to 1381 of the family's 1533-position model. The record is from RNAcentral.